GGGCCUAUAGUUCAAUGGUAGAAUAUGCCCAUGGCAUGGGCAGGGUGCGAGUUCGAUUCUCGCUAGGUCCA
This 71-nucleotide transfer RNA is filed under the name bacterium. RNAcentral's name for it is "tRNA-Ala". It matches the Rfam family "tRNA". Rfam says of the family: Transfer RNA (tRNA) molecules are approximately 80 nucleotides in length. Their secondary structure includes four short double-helical elements and three loops (D, anti-codon, and T loops). The record is from RNAcentral.